GAUCAUGGCUCAGGAUGAACGCUGGCGGCGUGCCUAAUACAUGCAAGUCGAACGAGGUAGCAAUACCGAGUGGCGAACGGGUGAGUAACACGUAGGUAACCUGCCCUUAAGCUUGGGAUACCCAGAGGAAACUUUGGCUAAUACCGGAUAACAACAGAGAAGGCAUCUUCUUUGCUUGAAAGGCCCCUUCAAGGGUCACUUAAGGAUGGACCUGCGGCGCAUUAGCUAGUUGGUGAGAUAACAGCCCACCAAGGCGAGGAUGCGUAGCCGAACUGAGAGGUUGAUCGGCCACAUUGGAACUGAGACACGGUCCAAACUCCUACGGGAGGCAGCAGUAAGGAGUUUUCGGCAAUGGGGGAAACCCUGACCGAGCAACGCCGCGUGAGCGAUGACGGCCCUAAUGGGUUGUAAAGCUCUGUUGUAAGCCAUGAAUGACAGCUUGAGGAAAUGCAAGUUGUUUGACGACAGCUUACCAGAAAGCCACGGCUAACUACGUGCCAGCCGCCGC
Molecule: ribosomal RNA, 508 nt
Filed under: uncultured bacterium
Lineage: Bacteria
Description: bacterial SSU rRNA
Rfam family: Bacterial small subunit ribosomal RNA
Source: RNAcentral